Amblyraja radiata (thorny skate) is the source of this 104-nucleotide small nuclear RNA. The record is from RefSeq and is a predicted model, not a curated record. NCBI's taxonomy places the organism in Eukaryota, Metazoa, Chordata, Chondrichthyes, Rajiformes, Rajidae.
AAGAUCUUCACAGCAAUUAUACUAAAAUUGGAACAACGCAGAGAAGAUCCACACGGCCCUUGCUCAAGGAUAAUACACCGAUUCGUGAAGCGUUCCAUGUUUGU